Molecule: long non-coding RNA, 271 nt
Organism: Hippocampus zosterae (dwarf seahorse)
Lineage: Eukaryota; Metazoa; Chordata; Actinopteri; Syngnathiformes; Syngnathidae
Exons: 2
Source: RefSeq, a predicted model, not a curated record
CUUUUCUCCAGAUUGUGGCUAGGUUUCUCCAUUUUCUGUUAUCUCUUCUAUUCUAUUAUUUUCUUCUAUUUUCUUUCUUACCGCUAUUUUUUAUUUUUCUUCUUCGUGCUACAGCUAUUUAUAUUGUUCUUCUUUGUUCUACCGCUAUUUUUAUUUUUAUUCUUCGUGACAGGGGUUCAUUUUGGCCUGGGGAGUCAAGUUCAGCAUUCGUUUCAAUGAUAUCUGGCGCCAUCUAGCGGCGUGAAUGGGUAAAAUGUCUAGACCCCGAAUA